RNAcentral lists this long non-coding RNA (648 nucleotides) under Canis lupus familiaris (dog). RNAcentral describes it as "lncRNA (ENSCAFG00845029728.1)". The record is from RNAcentral. Lineage: Eukaryota; Metazoa; Chordata; Mammalia; Carnivora; Canidae.
UUCCUCCCUCUCUGAGAAUUGUCUUGUCAUCCUUUUGGUUCGCUUUGUUUUUGUAUCCUCAUGGCUUGGAUAUUUGAACCCUUUAUAAUGAGCUUUUACAAUUAAUAGGAUAUUAGUGUUUUGUUAUACAGAUGGCAGAUGUUUCUUCAAUUGCCUCUUUAUUCAUAGGUCGGUACGCACCAGGUUUGACGUGUGAUCCCUUCCGUUGCCUGUUUGAUGCAGAGGUUUCCCUUCGUCUUGAGUGUGUAUUGUCAAUAGAAUAUCUUUAAAAAGUUUCCUGUCUUAUAUUUACCUCUUCUUAUCCGCCUAAGAAUAAUUUUGCUGUGAAAAGCUGACAGGAUUUUUGCUUUUUUCCCCAGCAUCACGUGUUAGAUGACACCUGCCUGCUGAUUUGGUCUUCUGGACGAGGUAUGUUUGUGAACCUUCUAUUGUUUCCUGAAUUCUUGGCUAUGAAGAAUUCGUGGCGGGUGAGGAGGUUGGUGUUUGGAAGAACUGAUGACCAGCAUGAUGAGGAGAUUCCUCACCGUGGUGACCAGCUCAGUUUUCUAAACUGUGUUCCCUGGAUGUUAACAAGUGAUUCAAGAAGUUUCUGUGAUAUUUGAAGCCCGAGUGUCAUUGGGAGCUCAUGCUUGAAGCCUUGUCAGACAA